UAAAAGACUAUGAAAAGAAGAGUACAGACUAGAUUAUGAGUAAAGCGAGUCCCGUUUGGUGUGAGGGGAUCUGAUAAAAGGUUUGGAAGUGCAUCUUGGAGUCGUAUGGGUGACGUUAUAAUCAGCCCAUAACGGGAUUGCCCGUUACAGCAAGCCAUUAUAGAAGAAAUUCCGUAUUGGACUGAGCAACAGCUUGCUUUUUUGCGUGCUGUUACUUAAGGUGGAACCGUAAAAUUAACUAUUUUACCCUUAAG
RNAcentral lists this non-coding RNA (254 nucleotides) under Jeotgalibaca sp. RNAcentral describes it as "T-box sequence". It matches the Rfam family "T-box leader". Rfam says of the family: Uncharged tRNA acts as the effector for transcription antitermination of genes in the T-box leader family. T-boxes are found upstream of many aminoacyl-tRNA synthetase genes and some amino acid biosynthetic genes usually in Gram-positive bacteria. The record is from RNAcentral. Lineage: Bacteria; Bacillati; Bacillota; Bacilli; Lactobacillales; Carnobacteriaceae.